AUUGAACGCUGGCGGCAGGCCCAACACAUGCAAGUCGAACGGUAGCACAGAGAGCUUGCUCUCGGGUGACGAGUGGCGGACGGGUGAGUGAUGUCUGGGAAACUGCCCGAUGGAGGGGGCUAACUACUGGAAACGGUAGCUAAUACCGCAUAACGUCGCAAGACAAAAGUGGGGGACCUUCGGGCCUCACACCAUCUGAUGUGCCCAGAGGGGAUUCGCUAGUAGGUGGGGUAAUGGCUCACCUAGGCGACGCUCCCUAGCUGGUCUGAGAGGAUGACCAGCCACACUGGAACUGAGACACGGUCCAGACUCCUACGGGAGGCAGCAGUGGGGAAUAUUGCACAAUGGGCGCAAGCCUGAUGCAGCCAUGCCGCGUGUAUGAAGAAGGCCUUCGGGUUGUAAAGUACUUUCAGCGGGGAGGAAGGCGGUGAAGUUAAUAGCUUCACCGAUUGACGUUACCCGCAGAAGAAGCACCGGCUAACUCCGUGCCAGCCGCCGCUGUAA
Molecule: ribosomal RNA, 504 nt
Filed under: uncultured bacterium
Lineage: Bacteria
Description: partial 16S ribosomal RNA
Rfam family: Bacterial small subunit ribosomal RNA
Source: RNAcentral